UUCUGACCGUAAACGAUGCCAACUAGCGAUUCGCCGGUGGAUUUUUCGCCCUGGUGAGUAGCUUCCCGGAAACGAAAGUCUUCCGGUUCCGGGGGAAGUAUGGUUGCAAAGCUGAAACUUAAAGGAAUUGACGGAAGGGCACCACCAGGAGUGGAGCCUGCGGCUUAAUUUGACUCAACACGGGGAAACUCACCCGGCCCGGACACCGUGAGGAUUGACAGAUUGAUAGCUCUUUCAUGAUUCGGUGGUUGGUGGUGCAUGGCCGUUCUUAGUUCGUGGAUCGAUUUGUCUGGUUUAUUCCGAUAACGAGCGAGACUCUAGCCUACUAAAUAGUAACGAGAUUACUAUUGUCUCGGUUGCUUCUUAGAGGGAUUUUCGGUGUUUAGCCGCACGAGAUUGAGCAAUAACAGGUCUGUGAUGCCCUUAGAUGUCCGGGGCUGCACGCGCGCUACACUGGCGAAAUCAGCGUGCAGCAUCCAUUCUCGAAAGGGAUUGGUAAACCCAUGAAAAUUUGCCGUGCUUGGGAUCGGAAAUUGCAAUUAUUUUCCGUGAACGAGGAAUUCCAAGUAAGUGCGAGUCAUCAACUCGCUCUG
This 593-nucleotide ribosomal RNA is filed under the name unidentified nematode. RNAcentral's name for it is "SSU rRNA". It matches the Rfam family "Eukaryotic small subunit ribosomal RNA", at positions 1024 to 1643 of the family's 1831-position model. Lineage: Eukaryota; Metazoa; Nematoda. The record is from RNAcentral.